This 280-nucleotide unclassified non-coding RNA is filed under the name Hevea brasiliensis (rubber tree). The record is from RNAcentral. Lineage: Eukaryota; Viridiplantae; Streptophyta; Magnoliopsida; Malpighiales; Euphorbiaceae.
UGGCCAUUAACUUGGUAAGCCCUCACAAGUAACAGCAAACGCAUACUCUCCUGAAUUGUCUGGCCCGAAAUUCCAGGGGACGUGGCUGCCUGACCCACCAAAUUUCUAAAGAAAUUGUCCCAUGACUCAUCCACGCUAUUUGGGUCAGCUUCCCAAGCUCGUUGUAACUCCUCCAAGUAAACACUACUGGUUCCAUCUAAGAAGCUAUCAGUUAGCCUGGAGAGAGGUACAGGACGAGGGACAGGUGCAGUUUGUGCCUUGGACUUAAAGACAGUGGUAU